This is a transfer RNA of 71 nucleotides. It matches the Rfam family "tRNA". Rfam says of the family: Transfer RNA (tRNA) molecules are approximately 80 nucleotides in length.
CAAAGUGAAGCUUUAAAGUAAAGCAUUUCAUUUACAUUGAGGGGAAUUUCGUGCAAUUCGAAUUACUUUGA